AAAGCAAAAGAAGAAGAAAGAGAAAAAAGAAAAGAAGGAGAAGAAGGCCAAAAAGUCGUC
This 60-nucleotide non-coding RNA is filed under the name Thraustochytrium sp. LLF1b. Lineage: Eukaryota; Bigyra; Thraustochytrida; Thraustochytriidae. The record is from RNAcentral.